RNAcentral lists this transfer RNA (64 nucleotides) under Attagenus hottentotus. RNAcentral describes it as "tRNA-Leu". The record is from RNAcentral. Lineage: Eukaryota; Metazoa; Arthropoda; Insecta; Coleoptera; Dermestidae.
GUUGUUUUGGCAGAUUAGUGCAAUUGAUUUAGGAUUUUUAUAUGUAAUUUAUUUACAAAUAACA